This 1071-nucleotide long non-coding RNA is filed under the name Cyanistes caeruleus (blue tit). Its description in RNAcentral is "lncRNA (ENSCCEG00000022554.1)". The record is from RNAcentral. Lineage: Eukaryota; Metazoa; Chordata; Aves; Passeriformes; Paridae.
GCGGCCCUGGAGCUCUGCUGGUAUCCAGGGCUUGUCUGGGACACUGCAGGGACUGGGGAGAUUGAGUUGGACCUGCAGAGUUUUGUGGAGGGGACUGAGAGAGGGUUUUGCUCUCCUUCAUCCCUUGCUCUCCCAGUGAGGAAGGGACCCCAGUCUGUCUCUGCCCACACAGAUCCACAAGCUUUGGCCAUUGCUCACUCCAGCAUCCCACUGCUCCCAGUGCUCCCAUGUGUGACCAGCAGCCACUUCUUGAGCAGAUCUAAGACAAGAGAACCUGAUUUCCUUUCCUUUCCUUUCCUUUCCUUUCCUUUCCUUUCCUUUCCUUUCCUUUCCUUUCCUUUCCUUUCCUUUCCUUUCCUUUCCUUUCCUUUCCUUUCCUUUCUCUGUCUCCCUCCUCAAAUAUCUUUUCCCCCUUUUUUCCUGCUUUUCCUUGUCUCUCUCCUUUCCCCCUUUCCCCUUCCUUUCACGCUCCAUGUUCCCAACUCCCCAGGCAGCUGCAGGUGUGUGAGGUGCAGGCAGAGGUUGGGUCCAGGUGUCCAGAUGACCGAACAGGCCCCUCCAUCAUUCACAUCCUCACUCCUCCGUGCUUUCCAGCAUUGCUGGCACAGGGGGAAUAUUUUUGGUGCUUUCAGCCCCCCUGCCCCAGGGAGGGGGUGCAAUCUGCGAGGGACUUUGUGGUCAGAGUGUCCCCAGCACGAUUUGGCUGCGGAGCUGCCGGAGCAAAGGCUUUGCCUUAAUGAGCUGGUGCUGCUUUGCUCGUUAAUGAUGUGGAGCGGCGCCAUCAGCAGACAAUUAAGGAGUGUUGUCCCAGGCUCUAAUAAGGGCACAGAGAGAGCCGGCUGGGGGAUGCUGUGGGAUGCCAAGAGUGGGGGCACCCACCUGGGAGCAUCACUGACCCUCCCCAGCACCUCCCACAGCUCUUCCUCCUCCUCCUCCUCUUCCUCUUGUUCCCCCUCCCCAGAAGAGCCAAGAGUCACACAGGACAUUGUCCCCAUGGUGUCCCCACCCUUGGUGAGGACACGGGGCCGUGUGAUGCCUGCCUUCGCUUGUGCAAUGGCAUUUGUUCGCUAA